ACUUCUCCAGGUCUGACUGAGUCAUGGUCGUUUGAGUCAAUGACUGCCGAGGAUCUUUCUGUGGGGUGGUCCCAAUCUGGCUCCGCCUUUUGGCCAGGUCAUCUUUCUCUACAUUAGGUCUGACUGAGUGAUGGAAGACUGGACCAAUGACUGAUGGGAAUCUCUGGGUGGGCGUGGCCCCCCUCCAGACCGCCUCUUCGCCAGAUCGUCUUUCUGAAGGAUUCAGGAAAGGAUUGUCCUUACGAGUUAUGAUUGACGCCUCAGGGGAGGCGGAGUCAGCCUGACUGGGGUAGAAAUAUAACAUCAAAUGAAACGCACCAAACACGCUCCCACAAUGAAACACACAGAACGGCAACAACAUUGACAUCCAGAAUGACCACAGACAGAAAAGAUCAGGAAAAGAGAAAGGAAUGAAUCAGUGAUAAAGUCAGAUGUGUAUCUAAAAUAAAUAAUACCAUAAUAAUCUUAAAGGUUACAUCAUAAAGGAUACACCAACCAUAGCAAGUCAUGUUUGGUGAAUAUAUGUUUGGAAAAACAAGUGUCAAUACAAUUUUUGCCAAUCUGCUUCAGAAAAAAACAGGUCUGUGCGUUGGCUUUGGAAUGAC
Misgurnus anguillicaudatus (oriental weatherfish) is the source of this 605-nucleotide non-coding RNA. The record is from RefSeq and is a predicted model, not a curated record. Lineage: Eukaryota; Metazoa; Chordata; Actinopteri; Cypriniformes; Cobitidae.